Molecule: long non-coding RNA, 624 nt
Organism: Magnolia sinica
Lineage: Eukaryota; Viridiplantae; Streptophyta; Magnoliopsida; Magnoliales; Magnoliaceae
Exons: 2
Source: RefSeq, a predicted model, not a curated record
AAAUGUAUAACUAUUUCAAUAGGAUUUUAUAGUAAUCAUGUUGCGAACCGCAUGAACAUGUAAGAUUUGGAGAAAUCCUAAUCCGGUGAUGAGAAAUUAUGUUCCUAUCCAUUUGUCGCAUUUUAUUCUCUAAAGGAUCUACUCCGUAUUCUACCACAUGAUGCAGUGGGCAGCACUCUAAAUAUUAUAUGACCAUAUCACCGAAGGUAGGUAUGGUCCUAUAAAUACGAUUUACAGCAUAUGUCUAUCUAAUACGUGAUAUUGGUUUGCGCAGGAUAUCGCGAAUUCAGCGAAGUGUCACCCUACACUCCUUCUUUCACAGUUUGGCUGCUAAGUUAUUGAGUACGUUCAGGUGGAGUCAAUAUAUAGAAAAUUCGCAAUGUACAGGGUUACGAUUUCCUCAAAAUUGAUGACCUCUUUUACAUGAAAUCUGGAGUGUAUGUCUGGGCAAAAAGGAAGUUGCAAUUGGUAAGACUUAUUUGGGGUUUCAUAUUCAAAUUCAUGACCUGUUUUUCGGGUUAUUCACUCAUGUAGAUGGCUCUUUCAUAUUUGGGUGAUUAUUCAGUCUGUACUUUGCAUGUGUACAGACCGAAGAGCAUUUCUUGUUCAGCAAUUUCAGCAUAA